CGUAGGGCGCAAGCGUUGUCCGGAAUUAUUGGGCGUAAAGAGCUCGUAGGCGGUCUGCUGCGUCCGCUGUGAAAACUCGGGGCUUAACCCCGAGCCUGCAGUGGAUACGGGCAGACUAGAGGUAGGUAGGGGAGAAUGGAAUUCCCGGUGUAGCGGUGGAAUGCGCAGAUAUCGGGAGGAACACCGGUGGCGAAGGCGGUUCUCUGGGCCUUACCUGACGCUGAGGAGCGAAAGCGUGGGGAGCGAACAGGAUUAGAUACCCUGGUAGUCCACGCCGUAAACGUUGGGCGCUAGGUGUGGGAUCCUUCCACGGAUUCCGUGCCGCAGCUAACGCAUUAAGCGCCCCGCCUGGGGAGUACGGCCGCAAGGCUA
This 372-nucleotide ribosomal RNA is filed under the name uncultured organism. Its description in RNAcentral is "bacterial SSU rRNA". It matches the Rfam family "Bacterial small subunit ribosomal RNA", at positions 526 to 896 of the family's 1533-position model. The record is from RNAcentral.